AUGAAGGACUUAGUUGUCCGGCUAUGGCCCGCUGAGCCAAUUCCAAGAAGUUACUUCGGACUCGUGAAGCGGAUUGUUGGUGCUUGCCCUAGGCUCGAAGUCAUUAAGCGGUCGGUAUGUAUAGAAGGUGCACGCAUGGCAUUUGCCCGUGUGAAGGUGCACUGGGGGAAGCUUGAUGUUGAAAAGCUGAUGACUGAGGGACCACCGGAGGGUAAGGAGCACCACAAGCCCGAAUUAUAUUAUGAUGGUGUCCUGAAAGGAGCCCGCCUUGUGGUGGAACAAUGUACCAAAGACACUAUAUUUACCUGA
This 309-nucleotide ribosomal RNA is filed under the name Triticum aestivum (bread wheat). RNAcentral's name for it is "partial small subunit ribosomal RNA". The record is from RNAcentral. Lineage: Eukaryota; Viridiplantae; Streptophyta; Magnoliopsida; Poales; Poaceae.